RNAcentral lists this ribosomal RNA (692 nucleotides) under uncultured Serratia sp. RNAcentral's name for it is "bacterial SSU rRNA". It matches the Rfam family "Bacterial small subunit ribosomal RNA", at positions 789 to 1481 of the family's 1533-position model. Lineage: Bacteria; Pseudomonadati; Pseudomonadota; Gammaproteobacteria; Enterobacterales; Yersiniaceae. The record is from RNAcentral.
GGUAGUCCACGCUGUAAACGAUGUCGAUUUGGAGGUUGUGCCCUUGAGGCGUGGCUUCCGGAGCUAACGCGUUAAAUCGACCGCCUGGGGAGUACGGCCGCAAGGUUAAAACUCAAAUGAAUUGACGGGGGCCCGCACAAGCGGUGGAGCAUGUGGUUUAAUUCGAUGCAACGCGAAGAACCUUACCUACUCUUGACAUCCAGAGAACUUAGCAGAGAUGCUUUGGUGCCUUCGGGAACUCUGAGACAGGUGCUGCAUGGCUGUCGUCAGCUCGUGUUGUGAAAUGUUGGGUUAAGUCCCGCAACGAGCGCAACCCUUAUCCUUUGUUGCCAGCGGUUCGGCCGGGAACUCAAAGGAGACUGCCAGUGAUAAACUGGAGGAAGGUGGGGAUGACGUCAAGUCAUCAUGGCCCUUACGAGUAGGGCUACACACGUGCUACAAUGGCAUAUACAAAGAGAAGCGACCUCGCGAGAGCAAGCGGACCUCAUAAAGUAUGUCGUAGUCCGGAUUGGAGUCUGCAACUCGACUCCAUGAAGUCGGAAUCGCUAGUAAUCGUAGAUCAGAAUGCUACGGUGAAUACGUUCCCGGGCCUUGUACACACCGCCCGUCACACCAUGGGAGUGGGUUGCAAAAGAAGUAGGUAGCUUAACCUUCGGGAGGGCGCUUACCACUUUGUGAUUCAUGACUGGGGU